UGUCAUGUGUAGGUCUAUGGUUCCUUUGGAUACCAGAGACUGCAGACGGCUCAUUAUCUCAGUGAGAAUCUACUUUGCGAACAGUCGAACUGGAUAAUUGCGGGAAUUCUGCGACUAAUACAAUUCGCUUUGCUGGGGUAUCUGGCUUUCGACCAACCGCUUUACGCGUCUUGUGUUGAAUCACGGAUUCCCUUCGUCGACUCAGUCGACGCGCAAAAUGGAUUUCUGCCCUAUCAACUAGACGGUUGGCUCUGGGCCUACCGUGGUUACAACGGGUGACGGGGAAUGAGGGUUCGACCCCGGAGAGGGAGCCUGAGAGACGGCUACCACAUCUAAGGAAGGCAGCAGGCGCGCAAAUUACCCAAUUCCCACUUGGGAGAGGUAGUGACAAGAUAUAACAAUAUCGGGCUCUACGAGUCUGGUAAUUGCAAUGAGCAGUGCUCAAACCCAUCUGCAAGGAACAAUUGGAGGGCAAGUCUGGUGCCAGCAUCUGCGGUAAUUCCAGCUCCAAUAGCGUAUAUGUAAAUUGCUGCGGUUGAAACGCUCGUAGUUGGACUUCGGAUGUCAGAGUUCGGUCCACUUCUGUGAGUACUGGACUCUGGCAUCUCUUUUGUCGACGGGUUUCAUCGGACUUAAUUGGCUGGUGAUUUUCUGUCGGCGGUGUUACUUUGAGGAAAUCAGAGUGCUCAAAGCAUGCGUACGCUCGUGACUUCACUAGCAUGGAAAUAACACAGAUGGGCUCUGUCUCGCAACGUUGGUCUGCGUCAAUUGAGCAACGAUCGAUAGAGACGGUCGGGGGCAUUCGUAUUGCGCAGUUAGAGGUGAAAUUCUCCGAUCUGCGUAGACGCACUAGUGCGAAAGCAUUGCCAAGNCGUCCUCUUAUGAUCAGAGCGAAAGUCGGGGAUCAAAGAUGAUUAGAUACCGUCGUAGUCCCGACCAUAAAUGAUGCCGACUGAGCGUCGGUGACUCGGCUUUAUGCCGGACAUCGGCGCUCUGAGAGAAAUUAAAGUCUUUGGGCUCCCGGGGGUAGUAUGGUCGCAAGUCUGAAACUUGAAGGAAUUGACGGAAGGGCACCACAAGGCGUGGAUGUUGCGGCUUAAUUUGACUCAACACGGGAAAGCUUACUAGGUUUGGACACUUGAAUGAGGGACAUAUUGAAGCUCUUACCUUAUCUUGUGGAUGGUGGUGCAUGGUCGUUCUCAGCCCGUGGGUUGACCUGUCAGGUUUACUCCGGUAACGCGCGAGACCUCGGUUUGCUAAAUAGACGUGGCUGUUUCGGCACCCGCGUUCUUCUUAGAGAGAGACUCAGUGAGAAUUGAGGGAAGUCGAGGCAAUAACAGAUCUGUGAUGCCCUUAGUUAUCCUAGGUCGCACGCGCCAUACAAUGUGGCGCACAACGAGUUUCCUUGGCCGAUAGGAAUGUCUCUCUGUUCAGUGUCUAACAUCUCAGAUCUGUAUCGCUAUCUGAGCAUGUAACAAUGCUUAUUUGGUUGAUCAGACAGUAUAGUUGUUAUGAUCUGCAGUAGAGAAUACUGGGCAAUCUGUGAGAGCGCUACGUGACUGGGCUAGACUUUUGUAAUUGUUGGUCUUGAACGAGGAAUGCCUAGUAAUCGCAGGUCAUUAUCCUGCGAUGAUUAUGUCCCUGCCCUUUGUACACACCGCCCGUCGCUCCUGCCGUGGCUCGUGCCGGUGAAGAGGGGGAGGCAGCGUCGAUUUGGGUAAAACCGAAUUGUACGUGGAACCCCUUCUGAACCUUCGCGAGUA
This 1763-nucleotide ribosomal RNA is filed under the name Caulerpa verticillata. RNAcentral's name for it is "bacterial SSU rRNA". It matches the Rfam family "Eukaryotic small subunit ribosomal RNA". Lineage: Eukaryota; Viridiplantae; Chlorophyta; Ulvophyceae; Bryopsidales; Caulerpaceae. The record is from RNAcentral.